RNAcentral lists this long non-coding RNA (305 nucleotides) under Elaeis guineensis (African oil palm). RNAcentral's name for it is "long non-coding RNA (EGUI_LNC036445)". Lineage: Eukaryota; Viridiplantae; Streptophyta; Magnoliopsida; Arecales; Arecaceae. The record is from RNAcentral.
UUUUUUUUUCCAUAAUUAUUUUUAACAUAGUAUCAGAGCCACCACCAUCAUCUUUAUUUCCUUGUAGAUCCUCUACUUGCAGUACAUUAGCAGAUCAUCCAUUUUUUAAUAGAUGAUCUGAAAAUCCUUUAUUUUUACAUGAAUCCGCAGUCAUUCUUUGCCAUCUUUUCUUUUUAUUUUGAUGUUUUUCUAUCUAUGGUUUCUUUGCCUCUCAGGAUGUUUUGCCAUCCAAUUUGAGACUUUUUUCCUCAUCUGACACAUGUCGAGAUACUCUGCACUCCAAAGACUUUCGAGCUGCAAGCGGG